RNAcentral lists this ribosomal RNA (305 nucleotides) under uncultured bacterium. Its description in RNAcentral is "bacterial SSU rRNA". It matches the Rfam family "Bacterial small subunit ribosomal RNA", at positions 334 to 650 of the family's 1533-position model. The record is from RNAcentral.
AUUGCCUACGGGAGGCAGCAGUAGGGAAUUUUCGGCAAUGGGGGGAACCCUGACCGAGCAACGCCGCGUGAACGAAGAAGUUAUUCGUAAUGUAAAGUUCUUUUAUCAGGGAAGAAAGAGGAAUUUGACGGUACCUGAGGAAUAAGCUCCGGCUAACUACGUGCCAGCAGCCGCGGUAAUACGUAGGGAGCGAGCGUUAUCCGGAAUUAUUGGGUUUAAAGGGUGCGCAGGCGGGAGAUCAAGUCAGCGGUAAAAUGUCGGGGCUCAACCCCGGCCGGCCGUUGAAACUGGUUUUCUAGAGUUGG